RNAcentral lists this transfer RNA (71 nucleotides) under Loxodonta africana (African savanna elephant). It matches the Rfam family "tRNA". From Rfam's summary of the family: Transfer RNA (tRNA) molecules are approximately 80 nucleotides in length. Their secondary structure includes four short double-helical elements and three loops (D, anti-codon, and T loops). Further hydrogen bonds mediate the characteristic L-shaped molecular structure. tRNAs have two regions of fundamental functional importance: the anti-codon, which is responsible for specific mRNA codon recognition, and the 3' end, to which the tRNAs corresponding amino acid is attached (by aminoacyl-tRNA synthetases). tRNAs cope with the degeneracy of the genetic code in two manners: having more than one tRNA (with a specific anti-codon) for a particular amino acid; and 'wobble' base-pairing, i.e. permitting non-standard base-pairing at the 3rd anti-codon position. Lineage: Eukaryota; Metazoa; Chordata; Mammalia; Proboscidea; Elephantidae. The record is from Rfam by way of RNAcentral.
GCACUGGUGGGUCAGUGGUAGACUUCUCGCCUACCAUGUAGAAGACCUAGGUUCGAUUCCUGACCAAUGCA